Molecule: ribosomal RNA, 587 nt
Filed under: uncultured bacterium
Lineage: Bacteria
Description: bacterial SSU rRNA
Rfam family: Bacterial small subunit ribosomal RNA
Source: RNAcentral
UACGGGAGGCAGCAGUGGGGAAUUUUGGACAAUGGGCGAAAGCCUGAUCCAGCCAUGCCGCGUGAGUGAAGAAGGCCUUCGGGUUGUAAAGCUCUUUCGGCCGGGAAGAAAUCGCACAGGCCAAUACCCUGUGUGGAUGACGGUACCGGAAUAAGAAGCACCGGCUAACUACGUGCCAGCAGCCGCGGUAAUACGUAGGGUGCGAGCGUUAAUCGGAAUUACUGGGCGUAAAGCGCGUGUAGGCGGUUUCUUAAGUCUGAUGUGAAAGCCCUGGGCUCAACCCAGGAAGUGCAUUGGAUACUGGGAGACUUGAAUACGGGAGAGGGUAGUGGAAUUCCUAGUGUAGGAGUGAAAUCCGUAGAUAUUAGGAGGAACACCGGUGGCGAAGGCGGCUACCUGGACCGAUAUUGACGCUGAGACGCGAAAGCGUGGGGAGCAAACAGGAUUAGAUACCCUGGUAGUCCACGCCGUAAACGAUGAGAACUAGGUGUUGCGGGUAUUGACCCCUGCAGUGCCGCANCUAACGCAUUAAGUUCUCCGCCUGGGAAGUACGGUCGCAAGACUAAAACUCAAAGGAAUUGACGGAA